AUGUGGUGAACGUCGUGGAUGGUUUGACUUUUGUUGACCACACCAGGAACCACAUCAUUGUCAUUGAUUCAGAUCGAGCAGAAGCCGGGUCGUAAAAAUGAAUGCUCUGUCUGUUGUGACCAUCGUCACUGCCUUCUGGGCGGCAGUGGCCAUAGUGGGCCCCGUGAUCGUAGCAAUGCGGUUUCCAUCAAGUCCGAACAAAGGUGUCGCUCAGACCAUGCUGGUGCUGACUGCCAUCUGCUGCUAUCUAUUCUGGCUCUGCACAUACCUCAGCCAAUACAAUCCUCUACUAGCGCCAACCCUGGACAAGAGUAUUGCAUGCAUGGUGCGGCAACAAUGGGGCGGUGUCUCAAGUCAACAUUGCCCGCUGGAGUAAUGCUGCAGAUAGGAUUUUAGUAUUCAUCAACCUGAUUGUGCCCCAACAAAACAAGAUUGAAAGUCUCUUUGUGGAGUUUAGUAUUUACUGAUAUAAUAUACUUUGAAGUACUUUUCCACUUGAGUUCAUGCAAUUUUUAAGAACAUGAUAACACAAGAAGAUAUACCGUGCCCUUAGGCAUUAGGCUGAUUGAAAUGUACAUUUUUUUAUUAUUGCUCCCUUGCACAUACUUGAAGUAUUUAGUCAUAUUUAUGGCUGUCUUCCUUACAAACCCAGUUGCUUAGCACUGACUUGCUUUGCAACAGGAAAGUCCAGCGCGAUAUGCUCCCACAGCAACAAUCAAUCAGUUUCUUCUUUUCUCGGACUUGCCAGGGAAUCAUGAAAUUAUUGGUAUCUGUACUAUCCCCACAGUACUGCAAAACAGCUAACUGUAACGGUAGCCAUUUGCACAACUACGUUUCUUUCACCGCUUCGGAGAGUUGAGUACUCUCGCUACUGUAGUCAUGUCUACCUGCUGUCCUCUGUGAA
This is a long non-coding RNA of Sycon ciliatum, 904 nucleotides long. RefSeq lists it as uncharacterized. Lineage: Eukaryota; Metazoa; Porifera; Calcarea; Leucosolenida; Sycettidae. The transcript is spliced from 3 exons. The record is from RefSeq and is a predicted model, not a curated record.